RNAcentral lists this ribosomal RNA (561 nucleotides) under uncultured bacterium. RNAcentral describes it as "bacterial SSU rRNA". It matches the Rfam family "Bacterial small subunit ribosomal RNA", at positions 28 to 578 of the family's 1533-position model. The record is from RNAcentral.
AUUGAACGCUGGCGGCAGGCUUAACACAUGCAAGUCGAGCGGUAACAGGAAGAAGCUUGCUUCUUUGCUGACGAGCGGCGGACGGGUGAGUAAUGCCUGGGAAUCUGCCUGGUAGUGGGGGAUAACUUGCCGAAAGGUAAGCUAAUACCGCGUACGCCCUACGGGGGAAAGCAGGGGAUCUUCGGACCUUGCGCUAUCAGAUGAGCCCAGGCCGGAUUAGCUAGUUGGUGGGGUAAAGGCCUACCAAGGCGACGAUCCGUAGCUGGUCUGAGAGGAUGAUCAGCCACACCGGGACUGAGACACGGCCCGGACUCCUACGGGAGGCAGCAGUGGGGAAUAUUGGACAAUGGGGGGAACCCUGAUCCAGCCAUGCCGCGUGUGUGAAGAAGGUCUUCGGAUUGUAAAGCACUUUAAGUUGGGAGGAAGAGCUCCGGGUUAAUACCCUGCGAGUUUUGACGUUACCAACAGAAUAAGCACCGGCUACUUCGUGCCAGCAGCCGCGGUAAUACGAANGGUGCGAGCGUUAAUCGGAAUUACUGGGCGUAAAGCGCGCGUAAGUGG